UUUCAUGGUGUAGCCAAAGUCUA
Molecule: non-coding RNA, 23 nt
Filed under: Arabidopsis thaliana (thale cress)
Lineage: Eukaryota; Viridiplantae; Streptophyta; Magnoliopsida; Brassicales; Brassicaceae
Source: RNAcentral